Molecule: long non-coding RNA, 1549 nt
Organism: Eriocheir sinensis (Chinese mitten crab)
Lineage: Eukaryota; Metazoa; Arthropoda; Malacostraca; Decapoda; Varunidae
Exons: 3
Source: RefSeq, a predicted model, not a curated record
GCGAAGUGUUGCCUAAUUCAAUACGCCUUUUCUUUCCUCUAUUCUGUUAUGUAGGGAUGGGAAGGUAAGGUAAGGUUAGGCCAGGUAUAAUAGCCAGGUGUGUCUCGCAGGUAAUGUGUUGUGUUGUAUAGAAGGUCUUUUGUGUUGCGUGUAGUGUUGUAUAGGUGUCUUGUGUUGCAUGUUGUGUUGUAUAGGUGUCUUGUGUUGCAUGUUGUGUUGUAUAGGUCUUCUGUGUUGCGUGUAGUGUUGUAUAGGUCUUCUGUGUUGCGUGUAGUGUUGUAUAGGUCUUUUGUGUUGCGUGUAGUGUUGUAUAGGUCUUCUGUGUUGCGUGUAGUGUUGUAUAGGUCUUCUGUGUUGCGUGUAGUGUUGUAUAGGUCUUCUGUGUUGCGUGUAGUGUUGUAUAGGUCUUCUGUGUUGCGUGUAGUGUUGUAUAGGUCUUUUGUGUUGCGUGUAGUGUUGUAUAGGUCUUCUGUGUUGCGUGUAGUGUUGUAUAGGUCUUUUGUGUUGCGUGUAGUGUUGUAUAGGUGUCUUGUGUUGCGUGUAGUGUUGUAUAGGUCUUUUGUGUUGCGUGUCGAGUUCAUUUGCCUAAUUCGAUACGGCAUGACAUUCUCCCUUACGUUUUUUUGUGACCUUUUUUUUCAUUGUUAGUACGAGUCCGACACUCCAUGAAGAACCUGUUUCCUCAUUCCUCGACGCCGCUACUCCUUUCUGGGUCUGGUCUGGUCUGGUCUGGCUCCUGGACUGACCUUAUGACCCUUUGAAUCUUAGUAGUACACCUCCUCCUCCUCCUUCCUCUCAUCCUCAUCCUCCUCCUCCUCCUCCUCCUCCUCUGACCUAACUUAUACCGUUCACCUUUUACCUCCAUUCGCCACCAUUACAAUCCUCCUCCUCCUCCUCCUCCUCUUCUUCCUCCUCCUCUUCCUUUCACCCCUCACAUUCCCCCUCACUUGUACCCUUUCCAGCGCCUCCUCCUCCUCCUCCUCCUCCUCUUCCUCCUCCUCUUCCUUUCACCCCUCACAUUCCCCCUCACUUGUACCCUUUCCAGCGCCUCCUCCUUCCUCCCCUUUCUCCCUCCCUCCUCCCCUUCCUUCCUUCCCUCCUUUCUCUUUACCCUCAUCCUUUCCUUUCACCCUCUUGCCUCCUUUCCUCCUACCCAUUAUUCUUAUUCCGCUCUUCCAUUUAUUUGCUUUCUUUUCCUCUUCCUUUUCUUAUCUAUAACCGCUGUACUUUUCCCCUUCUUCCUCUUUUUCCUAAUCUUCGUUCUAUUUAUUUUCCUCCUCCUCCUCAUCCUCAUCUUCCUUUUCCUCCUCCUUUUUCUUUUCUAUGUAAUUAUCCCUUAGCCCUUCUUCAGUCUCCCUUCUUCCCCUCCUUCCCCUACCUCAACCCUCCCCGACCACUCUUACUCUCCCUCUACCUCCCCAGCACUCCCCACCUCCUCUCCCCCUUUUCCCCUUCUCCUCCAGCUAUCCAUCCCAUCUUCCUUCUUUUUGCCUUCCCCCUUAUCAUCCUCUAUACGCCUUCUACAUCCCCAUCCCUUUGUUCCCCUCCC